UGGGGAAUUUUGGACAAUGGGGGAAACCCUGAUCCAGCCAUCCCGCGUGUGCGAUGAAGGCCUUCGGGUUGUAAAGCACUUUUGGCAGGAAAGAAACGUCGCGGGUUAAUACCCCGCGGAACUGACGGUACCUGCAGAAUAAGCACCGGCUAACUACGUGCCAGCAGCCGCGGUAAUACGUAGGGUGCAAGCGUUAAUCGGAAUUACUGGGCGUAAAGCGUGCGCAGGCGGUUCGGAAAGAAAGAUGUGAAAUCCCAGAGCUUAACUUUGGAACUGCAUUUUUAACUACCGGGCUAGAGUGUGUCAGAGGGAGGUGGAAUUCCGCGUGUAGCAGUGAAAUGCGUAGAUAUGCGGAGGAACACCGAUGGCGAAGGCAGCCUCCUGGGAUAACACUGACGCUCAUGCACGAAAGCGUGGGGAGCAAACAGGAUUAGAUACCCUGGUAGUCCACGCCCUAAACGAUGUCAACUAGCUGUUGGGGUCUUCGGACCUUGGUAGCGCAGCUAACGCGUGAAGUUGACCGCCUGGGGAGUACGGUCGCAAGAUUAAAACUCAAAGGAAUUGACGGGGUCGAU
This 575-nucleotide ribosomal RNA is filed under the name uncultured bacterium. Its description in RNAcentral is "partial 16S ribosomal RNA". It matches the Rfam family "Bacterial small subunit ribosomal RNA", at positions 355 to 923 of the family's 1533-position model. The record is from RNAcentral.